This 1294-nucleotide long non-coding RNA is filed under the name Vulpes vulpes (red fox). RNAcentral's name for it is "lncRNA (ENSVVUG00000013965.1)". Lineage: Eukaryota; Metazoa; Chordata; Mammalia; Carnivora; Canidae. The record is from RNAcentral.
CUUAUUGACUCGGUGGUCUAUUGACCAUUCAGAUAUUUACCCUGGGUGUCGCCUGUGUUUGGAAAAUGUGUUUGUAUCCUGUGACUUUCUAACAGAAGUUUAAUUCUUGUUAGAAAACAUACACUUGAAAGAUGGCUCAGCCACUUUGGAAUCACAGCAAGGAAAAUUCACCAUUUCUGCUGCUGGGCUGAGUUCCUUUUGGAUUCCAGUAAGUGAGCAGCCCCAGCCUGUGGAUUUUUCUUUGUCUUCAGAGGAGCAGGACCUGGUUUUAACUGGCACAUCUUCGUGUUGCUCACUCCUUAAGUAGUUUCACUUACUUUUUAACUGUUACAUGCCAACAAAACAGGUUGCUUAAUUGGUUUGACCUUUCACAGUAUUUUUUAAUUUUUCAAUCUUAGUUUCAUAGUUCCAUCUGGCCCUUUAAAACGACAUCUGGUUAACUGUACUUAACCAGCUGAUCACUGUACAGUUAUUUUUAAAUGUAAUGUAUGCUUAAACAGAUGUUAUUUUUAUAGAUGUGGAUCUAAACUGCACUUGUGUACGUGCUAUGUCUGCAUAAACUCUUUCUGCAAUUCAAAUGUUGACACCCAAAAUUACAAGCCAGAAUGCUUAUGAACUCCACUAUUAUGGUACUGCACUUUUGUGCUGCUUGUUAGGUCACAAAGGGGCCUCGAUGCUUUUGGUGUUGCUGUCGGAGAUAAUUCCAUCUCUGGCACACUGUGUCUGUAGCGUCCUGGACCUUCCUCUCACGGACAAAAAAGGGAAGACCUGCGCCUUCAGACUAGGAAAGGUUUUCUGAUGGUGAAAGCAUCUCAGCGUGGAGUGGGCCUUGUUUCCGAGAGGACACAGUCUCCGAAGACCAAGCAUCGGGGGGGCACUUUGCAUAUGACCCAAGGUUGAGUCUUCCUUGACACAAAGACAGUGGUCGCAGUCGAAAAUAUUUUGCGGAGAACUUUAAAAGUAUCAUUCUCAAGGUUAAAAAUUGCUGUUCUACAUAAUACCUCGGUAAUUGAUAGACAUUUUCUCUCUCCAGAGUCCAGUUUCUGUGAAAAACACCACGUAACAUCUGUUCAUAAACAGUCCUUCUGUGAAAACACUGACACAGGUCUUGAGCUUAUACGGGCUCAAUUCCCCUGCCAGGUGCAGAUGGCACGAUGUAUUUAUACAGCUGAAGCCCGCGGAACAGAAGCCCGGCCCGAUCUCCAGGUAGGACUGCAGGCCAGCCUGUGCUGCUGUUCGCAGGCCUCACCCCCAGCUUGUUCAAGGGGUUCCUUCUGACACAAAGACAAAUUGU